CCUACGGGUGGCAGCAGUGGGGAAUAUUGGGCAAUGGGCGCAAGCCUGACCCAGCAACGCCGCGUGAAGGAAGAAGGCUUUCGGGUUGUAAACUUCUUUUAAGCGGGAAGAGCAGAAGACGGUACCUCUUGAAUAAGCCAUGGCUAACUACGUGCCAGCAGCCGCGGUUAUACGUAGGUGGCAAGCGUUGUCCGGAUUUACUGGGUGUAAAGGGGGUGAAGCCGGGAAGACAAGUCAGAUGUGAAAGCCCGCGGCUCAACCGCGGAACUGCAUUUGAAACUGUUUUUCUUGAGUACCGGAGAGGUCAUCGUAAUUCCUUUUGUCGCGGUGAAAUGCGUAGAUAUCAGGAAGAACACCAGU
RNAcentral lists this ribosomal RNA (360 nucleotides) under uncultured bacterium. Its description in RNAcentral is "partial 16S ribosomal RNA". It matches the Rfam family "Bacterial small subunit ribosomal RNA", at positions 338 to 713 of the family's 1533-position model. The record is from RNAcentral.